UUCCGGUUGAUCCUGCCGGAGGCUACCGCUAUUGGAGUUCGAUUAAGCCAUGCGAGUCGCGAGUCUUAGGGACUCGGCGUACCGCUCAGUAACACGUGGGUAACCUGCCCUAUGCUGGGGGAUAACCUCGGGAAACUGAGAAUAAUACCCCAUAGUUCACCACGCCUGGAACGGUGGGUGGACCAAAGCUCCGGCGGCAUAGGAUGGGCCUGCGGCGUAUCAGGUUGUAGGGGGUGUAAUGUACCCUCUAGCCCUCUACGCGUACGGGUGUUGAGAGACAUCGCCCGGAGAUGGAUUCUGAGACACGAAUCCAGACCCUACGGGGUGCAGCAGGCGCGAAAACUUGGCAAUGCGAGAAAUCGUGACCAGGGAACUCCAAGUGCAUCGGGUAAGACCGAUGCUUUUCUUGACUCUUCAAAGGUCUUGGAAUAAGGGGUGGGUAAGGACGGUGCCAGCCGCCGCGGUAAUACCGGCGCCCCAAGUGGUAGUCGCUUUUAUUGGGCCUAAAACGUCCGUAGCCGGUCUGGUACAUUCGUGGGUAAAUCAACCAGCUCAACUGGUUGAAUUCUGCGAGCACGGCCAGACUUGGGACCGGGAGAGGUGUGGGGUACUCUCAGGGUAGGGGUAAAAUCCUGUCAUCCUGAGAGGACCACCUGUUGCGAAGGCGCCACACUAGAACGGAUCCGACGGUCAGGGACGAAGCCUAGGGGCACGAACCGGAUUAGAUACCCGGGUAGUCCUAGGUGUAAACGCUGUGGACUUGAUGUUGGGGGCGCUCCGAGCGCACUCAGUGUCGAAGCGAAGGUGAUAAGUCCACUGCCUGGGGAGUACGGUCGCAAGGCUGAACUUAAAGGAAUUGGCGGGGGAGCACCGCAACCUGAGGAUUGUGCGGUUUAAUUGGAGUCAACGCCGGA
Molecule: ribosomal RNA, 914 nt
Filed under: uncultured marine archaeon
Lineage: Archaea
Description: bacterial SSU rRNA
Rfam family: Archaeal small subunit ribosomal RNA
Source: RNAcentral